GUAGGGAAUAUUGGGCAAUGGAGGCAACUCUGACCCAGCCAUGCCGCGUGCAGGAAGACGGUCCUCUGGAUUGUAAACUGCUUUUGAAUGGGAAGAACAUACGGUUUGCGAACCGUACUGACGGUACUAUUAGAAUAAGCACCGGCUAACUCCGUGCCAGCAGCCGCGGUAAUACGGAGGGUGCAAGCGUUAUCCGGAUUUAUUGGGUUUAAAGGGUGCGUAGGCGGCCUUAUAAGUCGGUGGUUAAAGGUAGCAGCUUAACUGUUUUACAUGCCAUCGAUACUGUAGGGCUUGAGUGAUUUGGAGGUAGCUAGAAUUCCCUGUGUAGCGGUGAAAUGCAUAGAUACGGGGAGGAAUACCGAUUGCGAAGGCAUGUUACUACGAAUUAACUGACGCUGAGGCACGAAAGCGUGGGGAUCAAACAGGAUUAGAUACCCUAGUAGUCC
RNAcentral lists this ribosomal RNA (446 nucleotides) under uncultured bacterium. Its description in RNAcentral is "bacterial SSU rRNA". It matches the Rfam family "Bacterial small subunit ribosomal RNA", at positions 354 to 796 of the family's 1533-position model. The record is from RNAcentral.